GACGAACGCUGGCGGCGUGCUUAACACAUGCAAGUCGAACGGAAAGGCCCUGCUUGUGUGGGGUGCUCGAGUGGCGAACGGGUGAGUAACACGGGAGUAACCUGCCCUUGACUUUGGGAUAACUGCAGGAAACUGGUGCUAAUACCGGAUAGGAGCGCCUGCUGCAGGGUGGGGGUUGGAAAGUUUCGGCGGUUGUGGAUGGACGCGCGGCUUAUCAGCUUGUGGGUGGGGUAGUGGCUUACCAAGGCUUUGACGGGUAGCCGGCCUGGGAGGGUGACCGGCCACAUUGGGACUGAGAUACGGCCCAGACUCCUACGGGAGGCAGCAGUGGGGAAUAUUGCACAAUGGGCGGAAGCCUGAUGCAGCAACGCCGCGUGCGGGAUGACGGCCUUCGGGUUGUAAACCGCUUUCGCCUGUGACGAAGCGUGAGUGGCGGUAAUGGGUAAAGAAGCACCGGCUAACUACGUG
Molecule: ribosomal RNA, 468 nt
Filed under: uncultured bacterium
Lineage: Bacteria
Description: partial 16S ribosomal RNA
Rfam family: Bacterial small subunit ribosomal RNA
Source: RNAcentral